UAGGGAAUCUUCCGCAAUGGGCGAAAGCCUGACGGAGCAACGCCGCGUGAGUGAUGAAGGUCUUCGGAUCGUAAAACUCUGUUAUUAGGGAAGAACAAAUGUGUAAGUAACUAUGCACGUCUUGACAGUACCUAAUCAGAAAGCCACGGCUAACUACGUGCCAGCAGCCGCGGUAAUACGUAGGUGGCAAGCGUUAUCCGGAAUUAUUGGGCGUAAAGCGCGCGUAGGCGGUUUUUUAAGUCUGAUGUGAAAGCCCACGGCUCAACCGUGGAGGGUCAUUGGAAACUGGAAAACUUGAGUGCAGAAGAGGAAAGUGGAAUUCCAUGUGUAACGGUGAAAUGCGCAGAGAUAUGGAGGAACACCAGUGGCGAAGGCGACUUUCUGGUCUGUAACUGACGCUGAUGUGCGAAAGCGUGGGGAUCAAACAGG
RNAcentral lists this ribosomal RNA (429 nucleotides) under Bacteroidota bacterium. RNAcentral's name for it is "Bacteroidetes bacterium partial 16S ribosomal RNA". It matches the Rfam family "Bacterial small subunit ribosomal RNA", at positions 355 to 776 of the family's 1533-position model. The record is from RNAcentral. Lineage: Bacteria; Pseudomonadati; Bacteroidota.